RNAcentral lists this long non-coding RNA (406 nucleotides) under Coccomyxa subellipsoidea. RNAcentral's name for it is "long non-coding RNA (CSUB_LNC000450)". The record is from RNAcentral. Lineage: Eukaryota; Viridiplantae; Chlorophyta; Trebouxiophyceae; Coccomyxaceae.
CGCACUCGCAUAUUUACUAUCAGUGAUCAAAAAAGAAUCUAAUGCAGCGCUCUGUGAAUAAUUUAAAUACCAGUAUACCAUCAAUAUCAGGCAGAUUCGAGGGUCCACACCGGCUGCACCAAAGUUGGACAGCACUGAAAGGCAAAGCAGUAUUUCAGCACAAGUCUCACACACGAGCAAGGUACGACUGAUGAAGAGCCCUUCAUUGACACCCAGUAGUUUCAAGAUAUUUGUAGGUCCAACAUGCAAAAGGGCUGACCGCUGAAUGGGUAUGUGCAGGCCAUCGGAUCGCCAGUUUUCUGUCAUAUCAGCAGCAUCCCAGCGAUCGUCUUUGACAUUCAGGCAAAGAUGGCUCUCGGCACAGCAUGAUAUAAAUGAGAAAGUUGGGCAGCUGCGAUCAUGGUUC